RNAcentral lists this ribosomal RNA (264 nucleotides) under uncultured bacterium. RNAcentral describes it as "partial 16S ribosomal RNA". It matches the Rfam family "Bacterial small subunit ribosomal RNA", at positions 793 to 1055 of the family's 1533-position model. The record is from RNAcentral.
GUCCACGCCGUAAACGAUGUCGAUUUGGAGUCUGGUGCCAUUAUGAGCGUGGGUUCCGAAGCUAACGCGAUAAAUCGACCGCCUGGGGAGUACGGCCGCAAGGUUAAACUCAAAUGAAGUUGACGGGGCCCGCACAAGCGGUGGAGCAUGUGGUUUAAUUCGAUGCAACGCGAAGAACCUUACCUGGCCUUGACAUGCUGAGAAGGUCCCAGAGAUGGGACUGUGCCUUCGGGAACUCAGACACAGGUGCUGCAUGGCUGUCGU